UCAAAAGUCCAUUUUGUUCUCAAACGCAGCAGCGAGCGGAUGUUUUAUUCGUAAAAGUUCAUUUUGGAAUAAUCUUUCAACUUCACAAGUUUUUAUCAUGUAGUUCAAAGAACGUAAGUCGAUCAACCAAUUCCCUUGGUGUCGACAGAAAUCUGGAAUAAUCGAACGCUGGAAAGCGGAAACGGAAUGUUCGGAGCACGUGCGUUGGAAUGCUACCUGCAAUGACCCGGAAAGAUCCCACGCUGUUUCCGGUUGAUUUUCGCUUUCUCUGGAAAUGAAAAUAUGGGUCCAGCAAGCGUUCUAGAGCAGUGAAGCGCUAAUGGAUUUGCCUGACACCCCAUACUAAGUACAUCCAAAGGAAACAUUCUUCAUCCCAAGAAAACAAUGGCAAAUCGACAUAACUAACGACAAAUUUAUUGAAUAAUUGAAUUGAAUAAAAUCAAACAAAACAA
This is a long non-coding RNA of Uranotaenia lowii, 452 nucleotides long. RefSeq lists it as uncharacterized. The record is from RefSeq and is a predicted model, not a curated record. Lineage: Eukaryota; Metazoa; Arthropoda; Insecta; Diptera; Culicidae. The transcript has 4 exons.